Molecule: long non-coding RNA, 1422 nt
Organism: Venturia canescens
Lineage: Eukaryota; Metazoa; Arthropoda; Insecta; Hymenoptera; Ichneumonidae
Exons: 2
Source: RefSeq, a predicted model, not a curated record
AAGGCCUUCAAUCUUCCCGUUGCUUUUGAGAUCGCGGUAAUCUCAAAUUCUUGAUCGGGCCAAACUAACGAUAGCACAAAAAAGCCGAGCCAUUGUCGAUCGCGGUGCAGGCCACAAUUGGAUCGCUCAAACGAGGGACCAAGCUCGAAAAAAUUCAAUAAAUCAACAGCUCGUCAGCACUAAAAAAUAUUUUGCAAGAAAAAAAUAGCAAAAUGGUUAGCAGCAAUCACGGCGGUCUCGUCAAGGGUCCUUACCAGGACGUCAAAAAGGACAAAUCCUCAACAACCCAACGUCCUCAACAGCAAACUCAAAAUUCGCAGUCGAAGGACACUAAGAACGGGGCAUGGGGACCAGUUUACAAGAACAAACAACACUUCAUCAACAUGCACAUUUGUUAGACAGAUAAUAGUUCAAAGAUCGAAUUAUUUGACAGAUAUGCUCAACGAUAAAAAAAAUAGGAGCAUUCAUCGCUCCUUCGCACUAAAGACGACUAAGCAAACGUGGUGAAAGCGUCACUCCAUUGUUUCUUGCAAUAUUCUUAUUCCUUAAAAAUCGAGUCAUGGCUCCUCGCAUGGCAACAGCCAUUUUUCAUCGAAUGGCUAAAAUUCGUAUUGUUUUUUUUUUUUUUUUUUUUUUUUUACGAGCAAACAUAAAAAGACAAACAAUUUUACUAGUCAAAAAUUAUUCGAUAACGACAAAUUUAUUAAUCAAAUUUGCGAUGAUUUUUUUUCGUCAAAGUUCCCCUAUGACGACCCUACGUGUCUGAAACCCACUGGAAUCAUUGAUGAGAAAUUUCUCGCCGCAGAGGAUGUGUAUUCGAUCACUUAAUUUAAUGAAAUGUAUUGUAAAUUUCUAUUAUUUAUCACUGUGAUUAAAAAUUUUAUGAAUUAUUAAAUAGAAUAUAUUAAUGAAAGAUAUUAAUUGAGGAUUGUUGAAUAAAUCAUCACUUCGAUACGCACAAAACAUUAUUUUUUUCGAAUCAUCCAUUAUACUGGAGACAGUAUUGAAGAAAUCAAUUAUAUAUUUUCACGAGUGAAACCCAAUUUUUAUCUUUUCAAUGUUUUUUGAACGAAUGAUGUUUUUAUCAUUGUAACUUAGAAAUUAAUCGAUCAAAUUACUUCCGGGACUGAUAUCAAAGGAGUUUUGUUUUAUAGAAUAUCGUAAUAUUUCAGAUAAUCCAAUCGAUCGUUUCAAUCUCCGCAAUCUUCGAUUUCGUGUUAUUUUAUGUCAAAAUAAGUGUUGCAAGGAACAAUGAGUGGACAUCCACCGCGACGACAAUGGAUCGGCCAGAUUAACAAGGAAACUAAUUUAGUUAUAAUAACGAAUAUGAACUAACAGAGGGAAAUAAUUGUUGUACGAAAAUUAUUUUUUUAAUAUCAAUUCAAAAUAUACGAGGUCCCUUUACUUCGCUUUCUCACUCAA